UACAGAGGGUGCGAGCGUUAAUCGGAGUUACUGGGCGUAAAGGGCGCGUAGGCGGAUUGUUAAGUGAGAUGUGAAAUCCCCGGGCUUAACCUGGGAACUGCAUCUUAUACUGGUGAUCUAGAGUUUUGUAGAGGGUAGUGGAAUUUCCGGUGUAGCGGUGAAAUGCGUAGAGAUCGGAAGGAACACCAGUGGCGAAGGCGGCUACCUGGACAAAAACUGACGCUGAGGCGCGAAAGCGUGGGGAGCAAACAGG
RNAcentral lists this ribosomal RNA (253 nucleotides) under uncultured bacterium. RNAcentral describes it as "partial 16S ribosomal RNA". It matches the Rfam family "Bacterial small subunit ribosomal RNA", at positions 524 to 776 of the family's 1533-position model. The record is from RNAcentral.